RNAcentral lists this ribosomal RNA (1404 nucleotides) under Triticum aestivum (bread wheat). RNAcentral describes it as "partial small subunit ribosomal RNA". Lineage: Eukaryota; Viridiplantae; Streptophyta; Magnoliopsida; Poales; Poaceae. The record is from RNAcentral.
AUGCAUCGACCGCGAAACGCUUGGUGGAAUAGAACAGAUGGUGCUGAAACUCGUAGUACGCUCGAAGGACAGAGACAAUUCAAUAUUAACUUGCAUAAGGCGCAACAAAGACUCAGAACUGCACGAAACAACGCGCCAAACCUGACGAAGAGAGUCUUGGGUGGGUUUGUUAAAACCUUCGAGUACGAGUAUGAUGAUGAGGCCAUUGGCAAUGUUCAUAACGGCACGAUGAUAAUUGCGUACGAUGAUGGUAUUGAGCAACCUCAUGAUAUCACAGUAGUGAUCUUAGAGGAUUGGGCCAACGCUAGUGAGAUCGGAGAUGCAAUUGUGGCGCAUACUGAAAAACUUUCUAGCUAUGGUGGUGACUUACUUGUGCAAGCAUAUUUCAGUACUUUUUGCCACAAUGCUCAGAGAUACAUAGUGGCCUAUGAGCCAUUCGUUCCCGCCUCAAUUCAGGGAAUAAGGAGUGAACCAUUUUUUGCUCAUGAUGAGCUAGAGUUGUCAGAAUGUUGGCGGGAGAGGAUGAGGUCAUUCAUAGAACUUCUCCAUAUCGCGGCACAGUGCAAUAUCAGACAUGGUGGCCUCUCGGAGCUUGCCAACUAUGCGACUUGUCGAGAUGGGCUGAAGAUAAUUAAUAUGGGGCGAUAUUCUCACAUUGUCGGGAGAGAAAGAGACAUGCGGCAGCUUAUGGAUUUUGUAACCACACUAUUCCCUCGGAGUUUGACUCAUCCCGAGUGGAGAACCCUUGUUGAUCUUCUCCUCUCAGUGACCAUGUGGAACCCACUUAGAGUUGAUUCUUAUUACGGUCCUAACUGGCUAGAAGUUGUCUUGCGGCACCCAAUUUUAUUGGGCACUGCCGAAGAAAAAUUGGACUGCUUUGUAGCUCUCCACAUGGAUGUAAUGCGUCUGGACAAUACAGGGAAAGCUAGGUUCUCAAAUUGGAUUCACAAUCGCUACCCGGCAUUUAAACGGUACUUCUUGCAUGACUUCGAUGAUGAACUAGAACGUGACCAUGAUCUCCGUUCUCGAGUUGUUCCCUGGAACCAACUCUACUACAAUCUCUUCACGUUCAUCCCCCCUGGAAGUAAUAGGGAACUCAAAGAAAACAGGGACUUUGCAGCUUUCAAGCAUGGAUCCCGGUUUAGAAAGAAUGAGUUCUUUCAGGACCCUAAUGAUGGGAGUUGGUCAGCUAACUAUGGUACAAGAUAUUGCUAUCUCAAUAUUAUUAAGUUGGUUAAGAACCUGAUAAACCAUGGAGGUGACUACGAUCAGGAAUUGCAUGAUAAGAACAAUAUGCUCAUAGAGAUCAGAACUCGAUUCCAACAUUUUAUGAGUGUUUGCUACACCGUCAUAAACAUGACGGAUGAUUGGAUUAAUGAUUGGACGACCGAUCCAUAUCCAUAG